UCCUUUGAAAAAACCAAAACUUUACCUGAUAAUGUCUAAAGAGAAUCUUAUCUUUUGAAACUGUGGCCUCAAUAUCUCUAAAGCAAGGAGCUCUAGCUAGCCACACAAACCAGAAGCAUCAUCUUUCUCAAGAAAACUGCGAAAAAAACUUGGACCUGUCCUCUAGCGAGCGGUUGAGGAAAAAGAGGUCAAAUUUUACGCAUGUGAACACAAUAAUACUAAAUAACAGUUCUAAAUGUUAGAUUGUUAGUAGCGCGCGCGCAUCACCCCUAUCUUUUGGUAAUGUUUCUAAUCCUCAAAACUCACAAGAACAAAGGAAGGUACAAAGUACCUCACGGCUCACAGGUCUCGCUUAUGCUGAGCUUAUCAUGGAGCAACUGAAACCCAUCUCAAAUGCGUGAUUCUUGAAACUAUUUUGUGGUAGACCCCAAGACUCGAGCGUCAGCUGAUGCUGGUAGCAACCCAGAAGAUUCCUUUCUUAGUGAGAUGGAUACUUCUCUCUCCAAAAGGAAAUAAGGCAAACAAAAGAGGAAAUAGAGAGAAACGAAUCUGAAUCUGCAUGGUCUGAUCUACAACUAUUGGUGCAGGUUAUGAAGUACUCAUGAGCUCCUGGACAUGAAUAUCGGAAACAACAUCGGCAUUCUGUCAUCAAAUUUGUCGCUAAUAUGGAGUGAUCAGUGAGCUUCGAAGGUUACCAUUUUUUUUUUUUGUUUGUGACAUGUUCUUAUUUGUUAGAGAACUUCUGUUCUUCGAUCUAGAUUUUCAGAAUCCCAAUCCCACCUGUUAACAUGACAUGGAGAUGACAAGAUUUUAGAUGAAGAAUUGUGUUGAUUUUAUUUAA
Molecule: long non-coding RNA, 841 nt
Organism: Juglans regia (Persian walnut)
Lineage: Eukaryota; Viridiplantae; Streptophyta; Magnoliopsida; Fagales; Juglandaceae
Exons: 2
Source: RefSeq, a predicted model, not a curated record